RNAcentral lists this transfer RNA (72 nucleotides) under Camelus bactrianus (Bactrian camel). It matches the Rfam family "tRNA". Rfam says of the family: Transfer RNA (tRNA) molecules are approximately 80 nucleotides in length. Their secondary structure includes four short double-helical elements and three loops (D, anti-codon, and T loops). Further hydrogen bonds mediate the characteristic L-shaped molecular structure. tRNAs have two regions of fundamental functional importance: the anti-codon, which is responsible for specific mRNA codon recognition, and the 3' end, to which the tRNAs corresponding amino acid is attached (by aminoacyl-tRNA synthetases). tRNAs cope with the degeneracy of the genetic code in two manners: having more than one tRNA (with a specific anti-codon) for a particular amino acid; and 'wobble' base-pairing, i.e. permitting non-standard base-pairing at the 3rd anti-codon position. RNAcentral also lists the same sequence under 1 other name. Lineage: Eukaryota; Metazoa; Chordata; Mammalia; Artiodactyla; Camelidae. The record is from Rfam by way of RNAcentral.
GGGGGCAGAGCUCAGGGGCAGGGCGUGUGCCUGGCGUGCACGAGGUCCUGGGUCCAAUCCCUAGUGCCUCUG